AUACGGAGGGGGCAAGCGUUAUUCGGAUUUACUGGGCGUAAAGCGCGCGUAGGCGGUCUGUUUAGUCAGGCGUGAAAUCCCUGGGCUCAACCCAGGAACUGCGUUUGAAACUGGCGGACUAGAGUUCGGGAGAGGAGAGUGGAAUUCCCAGUGUAGAGGUGAAAUUCGUAGAUAUUAGGAAGAACACCAGUGGCGAAGGCGGCUCUCUGGACCGAUACUGACGCUGAGGUGCGAAAGCGUGGGGAGCAAACAGGAUUAGAAACCCCAGUAGUCC
Molecule: ribosomal RNA, 274 nt
Filed under: uncultured bacterium
Lineage: Bacteria
Description: partial 16S ribosomal RNA
Rfam family: Bacterial small subunit ribosomal RNA
Source: RNAcentral